This 253-nucleotide ribosomal RNA is filed under the name uncultured bacterium. RNAcentral describes it as "partial 16S ribosomal RNA". It matches the Rfam family "Bacterial small subunit ribosomal RNA", at positions 524 to 776 of the family's 1533-position model. The record is from RNAcentral.
UACAGAGGUCCCGAGCGUUGUUCGGAUUCAUUGGGCGUAAAGGGUGCGUAGGCGGUCUGCUAAGUUUGAUGUGAAAUCCCGGGGCUCAACCCUGGAAUUGCAUUGAAUACUGGCGGACUAGAGUACUGGAGAGGAAACUGGAAUUUACGGUGUAGCAGUGAAAUGCGUAGAGAUCAUGAGGAAGACCAGUGGCGAAGGCGGGUCUCUGGACAGUUCCUGACACUGAGACACGAAGGCCAGGGGAGCAAACGGG